GGCUGGAGCCCCAUUCAAUCAGUCAACGAUUCACGAAUUAUUUUGACAUAUAUUAAGCAAUGACUUCUCCAGGCCUCAUACUGGGGAUAAAAGUAUCAGUAGGCCACAGACACCUUUAGGAUUUUAUGAUACGGUUGGCUGGAGAUGGAGUGGGAGCCGUGAAUAUCUCUGUGAUGAAUUCCACUGGUGGCAGUAGCAGUGGCGGUGGCAUUGGGCUGACCCUCGGGGGAACCAUGGGCAGCAAUGCCCUGAGCUUCUCCAGCAGUGCGGGUCCUGGGCCCCUGAAGGCUUAUUCCAUCCGGACCGCAUCCGCCAGUCGCAGGAGUGCCCGCAACUGAGCCACCUCCCACCACUCCAUUCCCCCGGCUACCGCCCACAAUCACAAGAAGCUUCCCACCCCUGCCUCCCAUGCCUGGUCCUAAGACAGUGAGACAGUCUGGAAAGUGAUGUCAGAAUAGCUUCCAAUAAAGCAGCCUCAUUCUGAGGCCUGAGUGAUCCA
Molecule: small RNA, 499 nt
Filed under: Pan troglodytes (chimpanzee)
Lineage: Eukaryota; Metazoa; Chordata; Mammalia; Primates; Hominidae
Description: processed transcript
Source: RNAcentral